This 471-nucleotide ribosomal RNA is filed under the name uncultured bacterium. Its description in RNAcentral is "partial 16S ribosomal RNA". It matches the Rfam family "Bacterial small subunit ribosomal RNA", at positions 28 to 507 of the family's 1533-position model. The record is from RNAcentral.
GACGAACGCUGGCGGCGUGCUUAACACAUGCAAGUCGAACGGAAAGGCCCUGCUUGCCGGGUGCUCGAGUGGCGAACGGGUGAGUAACACGUGGGUGAUCUGCCCCUUACUUUGGGAUAAGCCUGGUAAACUGGGUCUAAUACUGGAUAGGACCAUGCUGUAGGUGGUGUGGUGGAAAGAUUUUUUCGGUAAGGGAUGAGCUCGCGGCCUAUCAGCUUGUUGGUGGGGUAAUGGCCUACCAAGGCGUCGACGGGUAGCCGGCCUGAGAGGGUGGACGGCCACAUGGGGACUGAGAUACGGCCCAGACGCCUACGGGAGGCAGCAGUGGGGAAUAUUGCACAAUGGGCGCAAGCCUGAUGCAGCGACGCCGGGCGGGGGAUGACGGCCUUCGGGUUGUAAACUCCUUUCAGCCAUGACGAAGCCUCUUUUGGGGUGACGGUAGUGGUAGAAGAAGCACCGGCUAACUACGUG